Molecule: ribosomal RNA, 2202 nt
Filed under: Meiothermus rufus DSM 22234
Lineage: Bacteria; Thermotogati; Deinococcota; Deinococci; Thermales; Thermaceae
Description: bacterial LSU rRNA
Rfam family: Bacterial large subunit ribosomal RNA
Source: RNAcentral
CGGGCACACGGUGGAUGCCCUGGCACCUAAGCCGAUGAAGGACGUGAUUACCUGCGAAAAGCCCGGUGGAGCUGGUAGUAAGCGUUGAUACCGGGAUGUCCGAAUGGGGGAACCCGGCCUGUGGGAACACAGGUCACCGCGGAAGCGGGGGGAACCUGGGGAACUGAAACAUCUUAGUACCCAGAGGAGAAGAAAGAGACAUCGAUUCCCUGAGUAGCGGCGAGCGAAAGGGGAGGAGCCUAAACUGCUGAGCGUGCUCAGCGGGGUUGUGGGGCUGGCGAUAUCGAAGCGGAGGCCUAGUCGAAGGGUCUGGGAAGGCCCACCAUAGAAGGUGAAAGUCCUGUAGACGAAAGGCGGAGGCUAGUAGCCAGUACCCGAGUAGCCUGUGGUUCGUGGAGCUAUGGGUGAAUCUGCGCGGCCCACCGCGUAAGGCUAAAUACUCUAGGUGACCGAUAGCGGACCAGUACCGUGAGGGAAAGGUGAAAAGAACCCCGGGAGGGGAGUGAAAUAGAACCUGAAACCGUGUGCCUACAAGCAAUCACGGGGCUAUCUGCCUUAGGGCGGAGGCUUUGUGGUGUGCCUAUUGAAGCAUGAGCUGGCGACUUACGGUAGCGGGCGAGCUUAAGCCGGUAGGCGGAGGCGUAGCGAAAGCGAGUCCGAAUAGGGCGAUAGUGGGCCGUUCGCGGCCCGGAGUCCGUUGCCGUAGACCCGAAACCCAGAGAGCUAGCCCUGGCCAGGCUGAAGCCGAGGUGACACUUGGUGGAGGGCCGAACCGGUUGGAGAUGCAAAUCCUUCGGAUGAGCUGGGGUUAGGAGUGAAAAGCUAACCGAUCUGGGAGAUAGCUGGUUCUCCUCGAAAUGACUUUAGGGUCAGCCUCGGAUGCUGAUUUGGGCCUGUAAAGCACUGAUAGGGCUAGGGGGCCUACCAGCCUACCAAACCCUUUCAAACUCUGAAGGGUCCAAAGGGGAGUCCGGGAGUGAGGGCGCGAGUGCUAACAUCCGUGUCCAAGCGCGGGAACAACCGAGACCGCCGAUUAAGGUCCCCAAGUGCGGGCUAAGUGGGAAAAGAUGUGGGGUUGCCCAGACAGCCAGGAGGUUGGCUUAGAAGCAGCCAUCCUUUAAAGAGUGCGUAAUAGCUCACUGGUCGAGUGACCCUGCGCUGAAAAUGAUCGGGGCUUAAGCCUGCCACCGAAAUCGCGGACUUUCGCAGCGAUGCGGGAGUGGUAGAGGAGCGUUCCCUAUGCCGAGGAAGCCAUACCGUGAGGAGUGGUGGAGGUAUGGGAAGUGCGAAUGCCAGCAUGAGUAACGAUAAAAGGGGUGAGAAUCCCCUUCGCCGUAAACCCAAGGUUUCCUACGCGAUGGUCGUCAUCGUAGGGUUAGGCGGGGCCUAAGGAUAACCCGAGAGGGGAAGCCGACGGACAACUGGUUAAUAUUCCAGUCCUACUUCGCGGUGCGAUGGGGGGACGCUUUAGGCUAGGCAAACCGGAGCCAUGGACGAGCCCGGACAGAAGCGCGAAGGGGGCUAUAGGCAAAUCCGUAGCCCAUAUACCGGCGCGUGGUGUGGAAGCCGCAAGGUGACAACUUGCCGAAGCCAUGGAGCCAAGAAAAGCCUCUAAGCACAACCGCGGAGUACCCGUACCGCAAACCGACACAGGUGGGUGGGUGUCAAUGCACCAAGGCGCGCGGGAGAACCCUCGCUAAGGAACUUUGCAAUCUAGCCCCGUAACUUCGGGAGAAGGGGUGCCUACAGCGAUGUAGGCCGCAGUGAAUAGGCGCUGGCGACUGUUUACCAAAAACUCAGCUCUGUGCGAACACGUAAGUGGAAGUAUACGGAGCGACGCUUGCCCGGUGCUGGAAGGUCAAGGGGAGGGGUGCAAGCCCCGAACCGAAGCCCCAGUGAACGGCGGCCGUAACUAUAACGGUCCUAAGGUAGCGAAAUUCCUUGUCGGGUAAGUUCCGACCUGCACGAAAAGCGUAACGAUCAGCGCGCUGUCUCAGCGAGGGACCCGGUGAAAUUGAACUGGCUGUGAAGAUGCAGCCUACUCGUGGCAGGACGAAAAGACCCCGUGGAGCUUUACUGCAGUCUGGCCUUGAGAUUCGGCCGUUUCUGCGCAGGAUAGGUGGGAGCCUAUGAAGCCGGGGCUUUGGCUUCGGUGGAGGCGCCGGUGAGAUACCACCCUGAGACGUCUGGAUUUCUAACCCG